CCUUUCAGCUGAAGUUACACGGGGCAUAUGGAAGCCAGCUUUUAUGAAUGGAACUGAUUGGCCUAGCCCUGCUGCCAAUUUAGCCACUGUUGAGCAACAGAUAAAGAAAAUACUUUCUGCCACUGGUGUUGACGUCCCAAGCCUUCCUGUAGGGGGGAGCUCUCCAGCUACACUUCCUUUGCCUUUAGCUGCCCUAGUAAGCCUCACAAUCACAUAUAGACUCGAUAAACUGUCUGAACGGUUCCUCGUCCUGGUUGGCCCAGCCUUGAAUGCCCUUGCUGCUGGUUGCCC
This 291-nucleotide unclassified non-coding RNA is filed under the name Hevea brasiliensis (rubber tree). Lineage: Eukaryota; Viridiplantae; Streptophyta; Magnoliopsida; Malpighiales; Euphorbiaceae. The record is from RNAcentral.